GACGAACGCUGGCGGCGUGCUUAACACAUGCAAGUCGAACGGACAGGCCCUGCUUUUGUGGGGUGCUCGAGUGGCGAACGGGUGAGUAACACGUGAGUAACCUGCCCUUGACUUUGGGAUAACUUCAGGAAACUGGGGCUAAUACCGGAUAGGAGCUCCUGCUGCAUGGUGGGGGUUGGAAAUUUUCGGCGGUUGGGGAUGGACUCGCGGCUUAUCAGCUUGUUGGUGGGGUAGUGGCUUACCAAGGCUUUGACGGGUAGCCGGCCUGAGAGGGUGACCGGCCACAUUGGGACGGAGGUACGGCCCAGAGUCCGACAGGAGGCAGCAGUGGGAAAUGUUGCACAAUGGGCGGAAGCAUGAUGCAGCAACGCCGCGUGCGGGAUGACGGCCUUCGAGUUGUAAAGGGCUUUAGCCUGUGACGAAGCGUGAGUGACGGUAAUGGGUAAAAAGGCACCGGCUAACUACGUG
This 468-nucleotide ribosomal RNA is filed under the name uncultured bacterium. RNAcentral describes it as "partial 16S ribosomal RNA". It matches the Rfam family "Bacterial small subunit ribosomal RNA", at positions 28 to 507 of the family's 1533-position model. The record is from RNAcentral.